ACUUCAUGCCAUGCAGGGAAGACUUCCCAUAUGAUAGAUGUUUUAAUGCAGGUUUGAAAGAAAAGAAGGGAUGUAAAUUAAUCAAUAACCGAGAUUUUGUUUUUCUGUCUUGUAGCUGGAAAAGGAUUUUGGUCUGAGAUGCUGGGCGUGGGGGACUUCUAUUACGAACUAGGUGUCCAAAUUAUCGAAGUGUGCCUGGCGCUGAAGCAUCGGAAUGGAGGUCUGAUAACUUUGGAGGAACUACAUCAACAGGUGUUGAAGGGAAGGGGCAAGUUCGCCCAGGAUGUCAGUCAGUAGGUCUUGUCUUCCAAUCCCUUGGAGUACAGAAAGAGGUCUUUAAAAUUCAGAUGGAACUCUUUUCUCCCUAUUCCUCAUGUCUAGGCUAGCUUAGAAAUCUGUAUGAUCUCCAUAUCAUACAGGAAAAAAAAA
This 429-nucleotide long non-coding RNA is filed under the name Homo sapiens (human). Its description in RNAcentral is "non-protein coding lnc-GIP-4:1". Lineage: Eukaryota; Metazoa; Chordata; Mammalia; Primates; Hominidae. The record is from RNAcentral.